Paramormyrops kingsleyae is the source of this 671-nucleotide long non-coding RNA. RefSeq lists it as uncharacterized. The record is from RefSeq and is a predicted model, not a curated record. Lineage: Eukaryota; Metazoa; Chordata; Actinopteri; Osteoglossiformes; Mormyridae.
AAUUCCUACUUUGUAAAAUUAGAACUCAAUGUUUACUAAUUUUUCUCAUGUAAAAUUGUGGAGUAAUAUGUGAUUUAAUCACAUAAAAUAAUGAAUUGUAUAUUAACUGUAACAGUUACUCUAAUUAUAGUGUUAAUCUGUUUUUUUCUUACUACAACUUUUUAUAAAAACUGGAGUAAAAUGUACUCCAAAAUAUCAAAAAAGCUCAAGUUUGAAUUGGCACAUGCGCAGUGGGACCAUUUCAACCCAGGAUUCCGUUAGUGCUUUCUUAAUCAGACCAUGAUAUUCAGUCGGAGCUGUUUGGGCGCGAUGCAACGUAAGAACUAAGAAAAGGGGAGUGCAAAAUAAUCCUGACUAGGACCACCAAGAUUUUAUACUUUGAGUCAGGGGGAGCCAUACAUUGAAGUCUAGGGAGAACGUAGAUUUCUCAAAGGAGAAAAUGUAGGCUUUUAAGAUGAGGUGGUUAUGCAAACUUUGCAGUUUUAGGGCAACAACACGUUUAGCACUUCUAAAGCAUUACAGAUUGACACAUAUAUUAACUGGCCAUGGUCGCUCUUUACCUUGCUUGUAUUCAGACUGCCCAAGUGCAUUCAAAAGUUUAAAUUCACUUCAUGCCCAUUUGUCCAGAGAGCAUUGCCAAACGAAUAAGUCAGGGGAAACUGUUGCUUUCU